Molecule: ribosomal RNA, 253 nt
Filed under: uncultured bacterium
Lineage: Bacteria
Description: partial 16S ribosomal RNA
Rfam family: Bacterial small subunit ribosomal RNA
Source: RNAcentral
GACGAAGGGGGCAAGCGUUACUCGGAAUCACUGGGCGUAAAGCGCACGAAGGCGGCUUCUUAAGUAAGGGGUGAAAUCCUGGGGCUCAACCCCAGAACUGCCCUUGAUACUGAGGAGCUUGAGUCCGGGAGAGGUGAGUGGAACUCCGAGUGUAGAGGUGAAAUUCGUAGAUAUUCGGAAGAACACCAGUGGCGAAGGCGGCUCACUGGCCCGGUACUGACGCUGAGGCGCGAAAGCGUGGGGAGCAAACAGG